Molecule: ribosomal RNA, 853 nt
Filed under: Microdochium lycopodinum
Lineage: Eukaryota; Fungi; Ascomycota; Sordariomycetes; Xylariales; Microdochiaceae
Description: partial 28S ribosomal RNA
Source: RNAcentral
CGAUUAGUCUUUCGCCCCAUGCGCAGAUUUGACGAUCGAUUUGCACGUCAGAACCGCUGCGAGCCUCCACCAGAGUUUCCUCUGGCUUCACCCUAUCCACGCAUAGUUCACCAUCUUUCGGGUCCGAACAGUUAUGCUCUUACUCAAAUCCAUCCGAAGACAUCAGGAUCGGUCGAUGAUGCACCCGUAAGGGCUCUCACCUCCGUUCACUUUCAUUACGCGUGAGGGUUUAACACCCAAACACUCGCAUAAAUGUUCGACUCCUUGGUCCGUGUUUCAAGACGGGUGGCUGAUGACCAUUAUGCCAGCAUCCUAGCCGAAGCGCGGUCCUCAGUCCCGGUCAGGGUAUUACACAAAAGGCUAUAACAUUCCCGGAGGAAUCACAUUCCUAAUGUCUUUAUCCCCCAACUAGAACUGAUGCUGGCCUCAACGAAGGGAAGUGCACCGGUGAGAACACCGGAUGAUUCCCAACGCAAAGGUCUGGUCAUAAACCCUUCCCUUUCAACAAUUUCACGUACUAUUUAACCCUCUUUUCAAAGUGCUUUUCAUCUUUCGAUCACUCUACUUGUGCGCUAUCGGUCUCUGGCCGGUAUUUAGCUUUAGAAGAAAUUUACCUCCCAUUUAGAGCAGCAUUCCCAAACUACUCGACUCGUCGAAGGAGACUUACAAAGGAUCGGCAUCCAACCGUACGGGGCUCUCACCCUCUAAGGCGUCCUGUUCCAAGGAACUCGGAAGGUACCUAACCAAAGUCAUCCUCUACAAAUUACAAUUCGGACCAGAAGGCCAGAUUUCAAAUUUGAGCUGUUGCCGCUUCACUCGCCGUUACUAGGGCAAUCCCUGUUGGUUUCUUUUU